GCUCCAGUGGCGCAAUUGGUUAGCGCACGGUACUUAUAAGACAGUACACGCGGUGCGGGCCGAAAUCUCGGCGCGAGCGGCGCGUUGUUCGUGUGAGCGAUGCCGGGGUUGUGAGUUCGAGCCUCACCUGGAGCA
RNAcentral lists this transfer RNA (135 nucleotides) under Culex quinquefasciatus (southern house mosquito). It matches the Rfam family "tRNA". Rfam says of the family: Transfer RNA (tRNA) molecules are approximately 80 nucleotides in length. Their secondary structure includes four short double-helical elements and three loops (D, anti-codon, and T loops). Lineage: Eukaryota; Metazoa; Arthropoda; Insecta; Diptera; Culicidae. The record is from Rfam by way of RNAcentral.